RNAcentral lists this ribosomal RNA (416 nucleotides) under uncultured bacterium. Its description in RNAcentral is "bacterial SSU rRNA". It matches the Rfam family "Bacterial small subunit ribosomal RNA", at positions 355 to 776 of the family's 1533-position model. The record is from RNAcentral.
UGGGGAAUAUUGCACAAUGGGCGCAAGCCUGAUGCAGCGACGCCGCGUGGGGGAUGAAGGCCUUCGGGUUGUAAACUCCUUUCGCUAGGGACGAAGCCUUUUAUUAGGUGACGGUACCUGGAUAAGAAGCACCGGCUAACUACGUGCCAGCAGCCGCGGUAAUACGUAGGGUGCAAGCGUUGUCCGGAAUUACUGGGCGUAAAGAGCUCGUAGGUGGUUUGUCGCGUCGUCUGUGAAAUUCCGGGGCUUAACUCCGGGCGUGCAGGCGAUACGGGCAUAACUUGAGUGCUGUAGGGGAGACUGGAAUUCCUGGUGUAGCGGUGAAAUGCGCAGAUAUCAGGAGGAACACCGAUGGCGAAGGCAGGUCUCUGGGCAGUAACUGACGCUGAGGAGCGAAAGCAUGGGUAGCGAACAGG